UACGUAGGGGGCAAGCGUUGUCCGGAAUCAUUGGGCGUAAAGCGCGUGUAGGCGGCUUCGUAAGUCCGUUGUGAAAGUCCAGGGCUCAACCCUGGAAUGCCGAUGGAUACUGCGGAGCUAGAGUCCGGAAGAGGCGAGUGGAAUUUCUGGUGUAGCGGUGAAAUGCGCAGAUAUCAGGAGGAACACCAAUGGCGAAGGCGGCGAUCUGGACGAUGACUGACGCUGAGACGCGAAAGCGUGGGGAGCAAACAGG
Molecule: ribosomal RNA, 253 nt
Filed under: uncultured bacterium
Lineage: Bacteria
Description: partial 16S ribosomal RNA
Rfam family: Bacterial small subunit ribosomal RNA
Source: RNAcentral